Hypomesus transpacificus is the source of this 1020-nucleotide long non-coding RNA. RefSeq lists it as uncharacterized. Lineage: Eukaryota; Metazoa; Chordata; Actinopteri; Osmeriformes; Osmeridae. The transcript is spliced from 2 exons. The record is from RefSeq and is a predicted model, not a curated record.
AUAUGACGACUACCUCUACCGGCCGUCUUUCUUUCGGUUCAGACCUUAUAUUAACUCUAUGGUUCAGACAUGCUCUGUUCAGGCUAGACGGCAUGGAAAGACAGAUAGAACAACAGGAAGCAAAACUCUGAUGCUUUUUGGUAACAACCACUAGGUGGCGCUUCGGUAGCGCGGCUGCCAUUUUGGGCUGAAUAUAACAGACAAAAUGACAACGAAGUCCAAGUGGAAUAAAAGAACGCAGUGUUCAGCAAUCCACUGCAAAAACUAUAAAUGUGACAGUACACAUCUUGCCUUUCAUCGUUUUCCCAAAGACCCUGCAAGCCAGAUCAGUGUUGCUGUGCUGGAGUCUGAUGUCAACAUCCUGAGGGUGUCCAACCGCAUAACGUGCCCUGGACAUGCUGAGUGAGAUGAGGCCACCAGUUUCAGCAGCAUCUGCUAUUGACCACGAUGGAAGUGUACUGGUUUACAGCUGGGUAUGGUCAGUAAGAUUGUGGGGAAAUCGCAGACAGGGAAGAUGGUCCCUGUAAGGAGUGUAAAAUCUUGACCACAGGUAUCCCUGCUGAUUCACAGAAUGCAUUACUCAAGGACAAACAGUAUGCUGACCUCAACUUAGGAGACAAGGGCCUUAAGGUGCCCAGCAUGGCACUGGUGGAUUUAGUCAUAUCAGAGUCUAACUUCCGAAAAAACAUGAGUGCGCACAGUUGGGAUGGGUGUAGGAAGCUAUUUACCAGUAGUAUGGUGAUUGUGAGUGAGUGCAGGGGAGUGUGUGACACAAAGAAUUGCAAAAAGUCACUCAUCUACAUGGUUAGACUCUAUAUGGAUCAGAAUAAUAUCUUGUGCACCCAAAAUUAGCGAAUUUCACAGCCAAAUCAGAAGCGCAAUAGAACAUUUCUUAAAUUAGGCCAUCAGCAAAUGUUGUUCAUUUAGUAGGCCUACACCUACAGUAGAUGCUGUAUUGUCUUGUAUAUGUUUUUUGGUUAUCAGUUGUGGAAUCCAAUGAUUAAAUGCACAUUAGAGGUA